GUGCCAGCCGCCGCGGUAAUACCGGCAGCCCGAGUGAUGGCCGAUCUUAUUGGGCCUAAAGCGUCCGUAGCUGGCCGCGCAAGUCCAUCGGGAAAUCCACCCGCUCAACGCGUGGGCGUCCGGUGGAAACUGUUUGGCUUGGGCCAGAAGACCUGAGGGGUACGUCCGGGGUAGGAGUGAAAUCCUAUAAUCCUGGACGGACCACCAAUGGGGAAACCACCUCAGGAGGAUGGAUCCGACAGUGAGGGACGAAAGCCAGGGUCUCCAACCGGAUUAGAUACCCAGUAGUCC
This 291-nucleotide ribosomal RNA is filed under the name uncultured bacterium. RNAcentral's name for it is "partial 16S ribosomal RNA". It matches the Rfam family "Archaeal small subunit ribosomal RNA", at positions 455 to 747 of the family's 1478-position model. The record is from RNAcentral.